Bombyx mori (domestic silkworm) is the source of this 2810-nucleotide long non-coding RNA. RefSeq annotates it as ragulator complex protein LAMTOR1. Lineage: Eukaryota; Metazoa; Arthropoda; Insecta; Lepidoptera; Bombycidae. The record is from RefSeq and is a predicted model, not a curated record. The transcript is spliced from 4 exons.
AUGAAAUCUGACUGUGUCAAGUGUCAAAAGAGAACCACUCAUUUCAUGUAACACGAACGUCGACUGUUAGCGGCAUACCUACGAUAUUUUCUAUUUUUAUCCACGCCAAGAGAUCACGAUACAAAACAUUUAUGCAGUCCGACGACGAGGAUACUUCGUUGCAUUCAUGCUUCAACUCUUUAAAAACAGCCGUAAUGGGUUGUUGCUAUAGCAUUUGCCACAAAGACAACGACCCACAGGAGAACGUUAUAAACGAAAGGACACAUCUACUAGAAGUAACGGAGCAGCAACAGGAGACGCUGAUACCUGUGGUAUCAGCGUCCACACCACCGAGGAAACCAGACGAACAGACUGCUUUGAAUAGGAUACUUCAUGAGACUGCAAAUAAUGUGAUCGACGUGGGCGCGCUGGGCCCGUACACACUGGAGGCCAGCGCGUACAGCGAGAGGGUGCGCGUGUACACGGCGCGGGUGGCGGCCGUGAGCGUGGCGGCCCCCCGCCCCGCGCCGCGGCUCCUCGCUGACGUCACCCACGCCGAGCGAGUGGCCCUACUCAGCUGUCCCCCAAUACCGGCCGCAGAUAAGGAGCUGAUCAGUGGCGCAGUGAGACGAGCCGCCGCCGCCAUAUCGGAGCUCAGGGUCGAGCACCGGGAGGACCUGGUGGUGCCCUUCCGGGUCCCCUAAGGCGGCGAUGGGGGCCGUCCCCCCACUCGGGAGCCUUUUGAUAAGAACUUUGUGAAUUAUAUCGGAAGCUUAUAAAUCCACGUGUUAAGAAUGUGAACUGACUGAUAUUGUUAUUGACAAAAUUAUUUCAAAUUGUUUUAUUUUCUCAUAAAUGAACCCACCUAGAUUUUGUAUUCGCGAAAAACGAUUAUAACUCCUUAACGUUUAGGUGCAGAAUCGGAUUUUGUUGUUUGAUCGCUUUCAUUGACGUUGCCGUCCGCUGUACAUCUAUUUUCCCACUAAAUAUUUGCGGCCUCAUUUAAAACUACAUUACCCGUCUCUCUUUCUCGAGUCAUAAAGUAAAUGCGAGUAAAGGAGAAGAGAUUUAAGUUCAAUCUUCCGAUUAAUAGUGCGAGUAUUGUUCCGACUGACAUUUCCCAUAGACAGUUAAUUAUCUUUACCACAGACAAUAAUAGAUUUUUUUCGGUACAGACAAUUUAAUAAUUAAUAAUUAUAUCAGAGAACGACCGUUGAUUUUGCAUGUAUUGAUAAUAAUUUUAAGACUUUUGAUAAUUAAAAUAAAUUAAUUCGACGUUGAUCGUAAUAAUUGGAAUUAAUAAAGUAGUAAUUAAUAAACCCUUUGUUUGAUGAGAUUUUGGUGUCCCCGAUAGGAUAUUUAAUAAUCGUAAAAAAAAACCGAAUUUGUGUAUUAAAAAAAAAAGAAGUCAUUGCAAACGCUCCUUUGAGUUCCAUUAUUUAUUUUAUUACUAAUUAACUUUUAAAUGUAAUCAUUCAGACAGCUUUUAUUCAAAUAAGCGUCCACUGUGUAUCCAGUUUCAUCCCAGCGAAGAAUCGAUGAUAAAGUUAAUGUUUAAUCUUUUAAAUAUAUGUAUACAUAUACGUGUGUCAGUUUCAGGCCGUGUGUUCGUCAGCCUGAUACGGCAAAAAAAAAUAUCUCCUACUAAAUCACUUAGGAUUUUUUCAAAUCAUUAUCCACAUAAAUAUGAUAUGACUAAUUAGGGGUAUCAAUAUAACUCUAACCUCACUAAUACAAUUUUUGACACAGAACAAUUGGAAUAUUUCUUUCGUUUCUGGAAUCAGAUGUAAUUUGUAAAGAAUUUCUUCUGAAAAGUGACACAUUUUUAACAUUUGCAAAAGAUUUGAUCAGAUGUUAAUUCUCAUUUUUAUUUAAAAAGCAUGAUAUGAUAAUAAUGUUAUAAUUAAUCCAAUUGUAAGCACAAUUAUAUUAGUAUGUUAUGUGUGUUUAUUUACAGCACCUACGUGUAUGUUAAUUUUUGAAUUGCAAUUAAGAUUAUUAUUAUCGAUUUUUUUUUGCAUAUAUAAUAAUAUAUUUUCAUUAAUUCGAGUCACUUUUUAAGUUUAUUCUGAGUAAACUUUUGAUUUGUCUAGAUUUGAUUGUUCUAGAACAAUCGAUUUGUGAAUGCAAUUAGUUUUUCGUGUAAAAUAAACAUUGUAACUUUUGCAUUGAAUAUUUGUAUCAAAUUAAUAUUAUUUAAUGUGAUUUUUUCAUAAUUUUGUUCGUUUCUCUUGUGUUCGACUACGGUCAGUGAGGCCUAAUCAAAGUCAGGGGACAGCGUGGACGUGGGCACCCCGACCCGACUUCUGCCACAAAGCAGACAAACAUUCCGGUUUGAAGGGUGGGACACUAGUUGUAUUGAGACUUUAGACCUCAUGCCAUAAGCUGAACUUUGUCUAUAGGCCCUGGAACGGCUACUUAAGUUAUAUAAUGUGGGUAUCAAAAAAAAACCUUAAAUUAAAAAAAAAGUACCACUAGCAAACUAAGUUAUUGAAAUUUUGAUUUAUAAGAGAUGUUUAAUGAAAUUGAAUAUCGAAGAGAAAAUGUUUAUUUUUGUGUAAUGAAAAAAUAAAAAUUAUUAAAAACAUGCUUGCCUUUCGUAAUCUUAUCGAUAUUAUUCUGUAAUUAAUGUAAAAAUAUAUCAAAUUUUGAAAUGAACUAUGAUGUAGUUUAUGAAGAAAAUCGACUGACUGUAGUUAGUUACGAAUAUAAGUAUUUAUAUAAAUAUAAUAAAAUAUUACAUGUCAUCAUAGCAACGUCUUUAACUAGGACGGUCCUUAGACAACAAGAAUUGGGUCAAGUAUGAGAAUAUAAUUUAUACAUAUUUAAAA